Long non-coding RNA from Eptesicus fuscus (big brown bat), 447 nucleotides. RefSeq lists it as uncharacterized. The transcript is spliced from 3 exons. NCBI's taxonomy places the organism in Eukaryota, Metazoa, Chordata, Mammalia, Chiroptera, Vespertilionidae. The record is from RefSeq and is a predicted model, not a curated record.
CAAUAAUUUCAGAACCAAGCUGCAGCCAUCUUUAUUGUACACAGAAAGGGAAAAGAAGGCAGGAUGAGAGGCUCCUCUCAAACACCAUAAAACCAGUGGAAACUGCUAACAGCUUCUACUCAGGAACCCACUCAGGAGAGGAGGAAGUCAUUGGUCCCAACUGCCACCCAUAUCAACUACGGCCGCUCUCUUUGUCUUCUCUGAAAUGGGGCUCCGUGUAGGAUUUUGUCCACUAGUAAAAUAAAAAUACUUUGAAAAUCACUUUUAUAUAUGUAAAAUUCCUGCUCUGGUCUCAGAUGUCGCCCUGGUGCCAGCCCAGAUCACCAGUGUUCAGCAGAAAAUCAGACAUCACAGGUCUCGGUUAGGCCUCUGGCAGUAGCUUGUAACAGAGGUCCCAGCUUCUCUUUUUGUAAGUUUUUUAUAGAGGACUUCUGGUGUAAGCUUAAA